AUUGAACGCUGGCGGAAUGCUUUACACAUGCAAGUCGAACGGCAGCACGGACUUCGGUCUGGUGGCGAGUGGCGAACGGGUGAGUAAUGUAUCGGAACGUGCCCAGUCGUGGGGGAUAACGUAGUGAAAAUUACGCUAAUACCGCAUACGAUCUAUGGAUGAAAGCGGGGGAUCGCAAGACCUCGCGCGAUUGGAGCGGCCGAUAUCAGAUUAGGUAGUCGGUGGGGUAAAGGCCCACCAAGCAAACGAUCUGUAGCUGGUCUGAGAGGACGACCAGCCACACCGGAACUGAGACACGGUCCAGACUCCUACGGGAGGCAGCAGUGGGGAAUUUUGGACAAUGGGCGAAAGCCUGAUCCAGCCAUUCCGCGUGCAGGAUGAAGGCCCUCGGGUUGUAAACUGCUUUUGUACAGAACGAAAAGGUUUCUACUAAUACUAGGAGCUCAUGACGGUACUGUAAGAAUAAGCACCGGCUAACUACGUGCCAGCCGCCGCGGUAA
This 500-nucleotide ribosomal RNA is filed under the name uncultured bacterium. RNAcentral describes it as "partial 16S ribosomal RNA". It matches the Rfam family "Bacterial small subunit ribosomal RNA", at positions 30 to 523 of the family's 1533-position model. The record is from RNAcentral.